Molecule: ribosomal RNA, 484 nt
Filed under: uncultured bacterium
Lineage: Bacteria
Description: SSU rRNA
Rfam family: Bacterial small subunit ribosomal RNA
Source: RNAcentral
AGGACGAACGCUGGCGGCGUGCCUAACACAUGCAAGUCGAACGAGAUCCAACUUGUGGCAACACUUGUGAAGAUCUAGUGGCGAACGGGUGAGUAACACGUGAGGAACCUACCCCGGAGACCGGGAUAACUGGCCGAAAGGCCAGCUAAUACCGGAUGUCCCCAUCGGAUCGCAUGGUCUGAUGUGGAAAUGGAUUCCGCUCCGGGAGGGCCUCGCGGCCCAUCAGCUCGUUGGUGAGGUAACGGCUCACCAAGGCAUCGACGGGUAGCUGGUCUGAGAGGACGACCAGCCACACUGGGACUGAGACACGGCCCAGACUCCUACGGGAGGCAGCAGUGGGGAAUCUUGCGCAAUGGGCGAAAGCCUGACGCAGCAACGCCGCGUGGGGAUGAAGGCCUUCGGGUUGUAAACCCCUUUCAGCAGGGACGAAAUUGACGGUACCUGCAGAAGAAGCCCCGGCUAACUACGCGCCAGCAGCCGCGGU